UCCGUUGUGGUCUAGUGGUUUGGAUUUGCGGUUUUCACCCGCAACGCCCGGGUUCGAUUCCCGGCAACGGAA
Non-coding RNA from Ascaris lumbricoides (common roundworm), 72 nucleotides. The record is from Rfam. Lineage: Eukaryota; Metazoa; Nematoda; Chromadorea; Rhabditida; Ascarididae.